UACAGAGGGGGCAAGCGUUGUUCGGAAUUACUGGGCGUAAAGGGCGCGUAGGCGGCCUGCUAAGUCGGAUGUGAAAUCCCUCGGCUCAACCGAGGAACUGCAUCCGAUACUGGCGGGCUUGAAUCCGGGAGAGGGAUGUGGAAUUCCAGGUGUAGCGGUGAAAUGCGUAGAUAUCUGGAGGAACACCGGUGGCGAAGGCGGCAUCCUGGACCGGUAUUGACGCUGAGGCGCGAAAGCUAGGGGAGCAAACGGG
Molecule: ribosomal RNA, 253 nt
Filed under: uncultured bacterium
Lineage: Bacteria
Description: partial 16S ribosomal RNA
Rfam family: Bacterial small subunit ribosomal RNA
Source: RNAcentral